GUCGAGCGGACAGAAGGGAGCUUGCUCCCGGAUGUUAGCGGCGGACGGGUGAGUAACACGUGGGUAACCUGCCUGUAAGACUGGGAUAACUCCGGGAAACCGGAGCUAAUACCGGAUAGUUCCUUGAACCGCAUGGUUCAAGGAUGAAAGACGGUUUCGGCUGUCACUUACAGAUGGACCCGCGGCGCAUUAGCUAGUUGGUGGGGUAAUGGCUCACCAAGGCGACGAUGCGUAGCCGACCUGAGAGGGUGAUCGGCCACACUGGGACUGAGACACGGCCCAGACUCCUACGGGAGGCAGCAGUAGGGAAUCUUCCGCAAUGGACGAAAGUCUGACGGAGCAACGCCGCGUGAGUGAUGAAGGUUUUCGGAUCGUAAAGCUCUGUUGUUAGGGAAGAACAAGUGCGAGAGUAACUGCUCGCACCUUGACGGUACCUAACCAGAAAGCCACGGCUAACUACGUGCCAGCAGCCGCGGUAAUACGUAGGUGGCAAGCGUUGUCCGGAAUUAUUGGGCGUAAAGGGCUCGCAGGCGGUUUCUUAAGUCUGAUGUGAAAGCCCCCGGCUCAACCGGGGAGGGUCAUUGGAAACUGGGAAACUUGAGUGCAGAAGAGGAGAGUGGAAUUCCACGUGUAGCGGUGAAAUGCGUAGAGAUGUGGAGGAACACCAGUGGCGAAGGCGACUCUCUGGUCUGUAACUGACGCUGAGGAGCGAAAGCGUGGGGAGCGAACAGGAUUAGAUACCCUGGUAGUCCACGCCGUAAACGAUGAGUGCUAAGUGGUUUAGGGGGUUUCCGCCCCUUAGUGCUGCAGCUAACGCAUUAAGCACUCCGCCUGGGGGAGUACGGUCGCAAGACUGAAACUCAAAGGAAUUGACGGGGGCCCGCACAAGCGGUGGAGCAUGGUGGUUUAAUUCGAAGCAACGCGAAGAACCUUACCAGGUCUUGACAUCCUCUGACAACCCUAGAGAAUAGGGCUUUCCCUUCGGGGACAGAGUGACAGGUGGUGCAUGGUUGUCGUCAGCUCGUGUCGUGAGAUGUUGGGUUAAGUCCCGCAACGAGCGCAACCCUUGAUCUUAGUUGCCAGCAUUCAGUUGGGCACUCUAAGGUGACUGCCGGUGACAAACCGGAGGAAGGUGGGGAUGACGUCAAAUCAUCAUGCCCCUUAUGACCUGGGCUACACACGUGCUACAAUGGACAGAACAAAGGGCUGCAAGACCGCAAGGUUUAGCCAAUCCCAUAAAUCUGUUCUCAGUUCGGAUCGCAGUCUGCAACUCGACUGCGUGAAGCUGGAAUCGCUAGUAAUCGCGGAUCAGCAUGCCGCGGUGAAUACGUUCCCGGGCCUUGUACACACCGCCCGUCACACCACGAGAGUUUGCAACACCCGAAGUCGGUGAGGUAACCUUUAUGGA
Molecule: ribosomal RNA, 1408 nt
Filed under: Bacillus sp. (in: firmicutes)
Lineage: Bacteria; Bacillati; Bacillota; Bacilli; Caryophanales; Bacillaceae
Description: bacterial SSU rRNA
Rfam family: Bacterial small subunit ribosomal RNA
Source: RNAcentral